AUCAAUGACUCGGGGUGCCUCGACCGCCAGGUUAAGGCUGAGAAAUACCCGUAUUACCUGAACUGGAUCAUACCAGCGUAGGGAAGUCACGGUAUCCAUUC
Molecule: regulatory RNA element, 101 nt
Organism: Sodalis praecaptivus
Lineage: Bacteria; Pseudomonadati; Pseudomonadota; Gammaproteobacteria; Enterobacterales; Bruguierivoracaceae
Rfam family: TPP riboswitch aptamer (THI element)
About the family: Vitamin B(1) in its active form thiamin pyrophosphate (TPP) is an essential coenzyme that is synthesised by coupling of pyrimidine and thiazole moieties in bacteria. The previously detected thiamin-regulatory element, thi box was extended, resulting in a new, highly conserved RNA secondary structure, the THI element, which is widely distributed in eubacteria and also occurs in some archaea.
Source: Rfam